Molecule: ribosomal RNA, 253 nt
Filed under: uncultured bacterium
Lineage: Bacteria
Description: partial 16S ribosomal RNA
Rfam family: Bacterial small subunit ribosomal RNA
Source: RNAcentral
UACGGAGGGAGCUAGCGUUGUUCGGAAUUACUGGGCGUAAAGCGCACGUAGGCGGCGAUUUAAGUCAGGGGUGAAAGCCCGGUGCUCAACACCGGAACUGCCUUUGAGACUGGAUUGCUUGAAUCACGGAGAGGUGGGUGGAAUUCCGAGUGUAGAGGUGAAAUUCGUAGAUAUUCGGAAGAACACCAGUGGCGAAGGCGGCCCACUGGACGUGUAUUGACGCUGAGGUGCGAAAGCGUGGGGAGCAAACAGG